Molecule: ribosomal RNA, 253 nt
Filed under: uncultured bacterium
Lineage: Bacteria
Description: partial 16S ribosomal RNA
Rfam family: Bacterial small subunit ribosomal RNA
Source: RNAcentral
UACGGAGGAUGCAAGCGUUAUCCGGAAUGAUUGGGCGUAAAGCGUCCGCAGGUGGCUGUGUAAGUCUGCUGUCAAAGAGCGAAGCUCAACUUCGUAAAGGCAGUGGAAACUACACGGCUAGAGUGCGUUCGGGGCAGAGGGAAUUCCUGGUGUAGCGGUGAAAUGCGUAGAUAUCUGGAGGAACACCGGUGGCGAAGGCGGCGUUCUGGACUGUUUCUGACACUGAAUAACGAAAGCCAGGGGAGCAAACGGG